UACGUAGGGGGCAAGCGUUGUCCGGAAUUAUUGGGCGUAAAGAGCGUGGAGGCGGCCAGGUAGGUCGGUUGUGAAAACUGGAGGCUCAACCUCCAGACGUCGACCGAAACCAUCUGGCUAGAGUCCGGAAGAGGAGAAUGGAAUUCCUGGUGUAGCGGUGAAAUGCGCAGAUAUCAGGAAGAACACCCGUGGCUAAGGCGGUUCUCUAGUACGGUACUGACGCUGAGACGCAAAAGCGUGGGGAGCGAACAGG
RNAcentral lists this ribosomal RNA (253 nucleotides) under uncultured bacterium. Its description in RNAcentral is "partial 16S ribosomal RNA". It matches the Rfam family "Bacterial small subunit ribosomal RNA", at positions 524 to 776 of the family's 1533-position model. The record is from RNAcentral.